UACGGAGGGUGCAAGCGUUAAUCGGAAUUACUGGGCGUAAAGCGCACGCAGGUGGCUGAGUCAGUCGAUUGUGAGAGCCCUGGGCUUAACCUAGGAAUUGCAGUCGAUACUACUCAGCUAGAGUAUGGGAGAGGGCAGUGGAAUUCCCGGUGUAGCGGUGAAAUGCGUAGAUAUCGGGAGGAACAUCAGUGGCGAAGGCGGCUGCCUGGCCCAAUACUGACACUCAGGUGCGACAGCGUGGGGAGCAAACAGG
This 253-nucleotide ribosomal RNA is filed under the name uncultured bacterium. RNAcentral's name for it is "partial 16S ribosomal RNA". It matches the Rfam family "Bacterial small subunit ribosomal RNA", at positions 524 to 776 of the family's 1533-position model. The record is from RNAcentral.